CCUACGGGAGGCAGCAGUGGGGAAUAUUGCACAAUGGAGGCAACCCUGAUCCAGCGAUGCCGCGUGCAUGAAGACGUCUCUCGGUAUGUAAAGCUCUAUCAGCACGGGAGAAAACGCCGGUACCUGUAUAAGAAGCACCGUCUAACUACGUGCCAGAAGCCGCGGUAAUACGUAGGCGGCAAGCGUUAUCCGGAUUUACUGGGUGUAAAGGGAGCGUAGACGGCAGCACAAGUCUGGAGUGAAAUGCCGGGGCUUAACCCCGGAACUGCGUUGGAAACUGUGCAGCUAGAGUGCAGGAGAGGUAAGUGGAAUUCCUGGUGUAGCGGUGAAAUGCUUAGAGAUUAGGAGGAACACCAGUGGCGAAGGCAGCUUACUGGACUGUAACUGACGUUGAGGCUCGAAAGCGUGGGGAGCAAACAGGAUUAGAUACCCUUGUAGUC
RNAcentral lists this ribosomal RNA (440 nucleotides) under uncultured bacterium. Its description in RNAcentral is "partial 16S ribosomal RNA". It matches the Rfam family "Bacterial small subunit ribosomal RNA", at positions 338 to 795 of the family's 1533-position model. The record is from RNAcentral.